Molecule: long non-coding RNA, 615 nt
Organism: Callithrix jacchus (white-tufted-ear marmoset)
Lineage: Eukaryota; Metazoa; Chordata; Mammalia; Primates; Cebidae
Source: RefSeq, a predicted model, not a curated record
UGCUAUUAGAAUUCCAUUUAAAGUGCUUUGGAAUCAAAGAAGAAAGCUGCUGACCAUUUAGGGGAGUCAGUAAAACUUCAUGUUUAAAAACACAGGCACAAACGCAUUGGAUGGAUUUUGAAGGAAAACUAAGCAUUUGCCAGCGGGAAGACAUGAAGACGUUCUAGGCAGAGGGAGCCGUUGGAGCCAGGUCAGAGAGUUGUGAAAGGCUGCAUUUUCUGGGAAACCUACAGCUGCCCUGAAGUCUAAUGGAUAAGGCGUUCUGAGGCAGGUGGAUGAAACUGCAGGGGAGUUCCCCACUUUGUGGACAGGGAAGAGAGGUUUCCCUAAGGAGGUCAGGAUCGGAUAUGAGUCACGGGGCAGCCAUUUUGGAAGGAAGACAUUUGUCAACCAGGAAGCUGUAAUUCAAAAUGUGGACUUAAGCAAGAGGAAACACCCAGCUCUCCCUUGGAUCCAGGUUUCAAGAAGCACUCACCAGAUAACUGCAUGUAUCAGAUUGCAGCCACUGAGAAACAGCAACAUUUAGAGAUCUCUACAGCAUAGAUGAAUUUGGGAUGAAGCCUCUCUUUUGUAGAGAUUCGCUCACCAUCACCAACAUUAAAAGAUGAGGCUUUC